AACGAACGCUGGCGGCAUGCCUAACACAUGCACGUCGAACGAGACCUUCGGGUCUAGUGGCGCACGGGUGCGUAACGCGUGGGAACCUGCCCUUAGGUUCGGAAUAACUCCCCGAAAGGGGUUCUAAUACCGGCUAAUGUCUUCGGCCCAAAGAUUUAUCGCCUUUGGAUGGGCCCGCGUUGGAUUAGCUAGUUGGUAGGGUAAAAGCCUACCAAGGCGACGAUCCAUAGCUGGUCUGAGAGGAUGAUCAGCCACACUGGGACUGAGACACGGCCCAGACUCCUACGGGAGGCAGCAGUGGGGAAUAUUGGACAAGGGGCGAAAGCCUGAUCCAGCAAUGCCGCGUGAGUGAUGAAGGCCUUAGGGUUGUAAAGCUCUUUUACCUGGGAUGAUAAUGACAGUACCGGGAGAAUAAGCUCCGGCUAACUCCGUG
This 433-nucleotide ribosomal RNA is filed under the name uncultured bacterium. RNAcentral describes it as "partial 16S ribosomal RNA". It matches the Rfam family "Bacterial small subunit ribosomal RNA", at positions 29 to 507 of the family's 1533-position model. The record is from RNAcentral.